UGGCCUGCCCAUUGAUAAUUUAAAAGGCCGCGGUAAUAUGACCGUGCAAAGGUAGCAUAAUAAUUAGUCUUUUAAUUGAAGGCUUGUAUGAAUGGUUGGACAAAAGGAAUACUGUCUCUAUUGUAUUUAUUGAAAUUAACUUUUAAGUGAAAAGGCUUAAAUACUUCAGAGGGACGAUAAGACCCUAUAAAGCUUUAUAUAAAAUAUAAAUUUAAUUGAAUUUUUAUUAUAUAAUAAUUAAAAUUAUAUUAUUUAUUUGGUUGGGGCGACAUAAGUAUAAUUAAUUUAACUGCUUUAUAAAUAUACACAGGAUAAGUGAAUAUUAUGUUAAAUGAUCCUUUAUUAUAAAGAUUUAAAGAUUAAGUUACUUUAGGGAUAACAGCGUUAUUUUCUUUGAGAGUCCAUAUCGAAAAGGAAGCUUGCGACCUCGAUGUUGAAUUAAAUUUUCUAUAUAAUGCAGCAGUUAUAUAAGAAGGUCUGUUCGACCUUUAAAUUUUUACAUGAUUUGAGUUCAAACCGGUGUAAA
RNAcentral lists this ribosomal RNA (526 nucleotides) under Epilobocera cubensis. Its description in RNAcentral is "partial 16S ribosomal RNA". It matches the Rfam family "Archaeal large subunit ribosomal RNA", at positions 1946 to 2694 of the family's 2987-position model. Lineage: Eukaryota; Metazoa; Arthropoda; Malacostraca; Decapoda; Pseudothelphusidae. The record is from RNAcentral.